UCCUACGGGGCGCAGCAGUGGGGAAUAUUGGGCAAUGGGCGCAAGCCUGACCCAGCAACGCCGCGUGAAGGAAGAAGGCUUUCGGGUUGUAAACUUCUUUUGACAGGGAAGAGUAGAAGACGGUACCUGUCGAAUAAGCCACGGCUAACUACGUGCCAGCAGCCGCGGUAAUACGUAGGUGGCGAGCGUUGUCCGGAAUUACUGGGUGUAAAGGGAGCGUAGGCGGGAGAGCAAGUCGACUGUGAAAUCUAUGGGCUUAACCCAUAGCUGCGAU
Molecule: ribosomal RNA, 274 nt
Filed under: uncultured bacterium
Lineage: Bacteria
Description: partial 16S ribosomal RNA
Rfam family: Bacterial small subunit ribosomal RNA
Source: RNAcentral